UAGGGAAUAUUAGUAAUGGGCGAAAGCCUGAACUAGCAACGCCGCGUGUGCGAAGAAGGCCUUCGGGUUGUAAAGCACUUUUUGAGAGGAUGAGGAAGGACGGUACUCUCAGAAUAAGUCUCGGCUAACUACGUGCCAGCAGCCGCGGUAACACGUAGGAGGCGAACGUUAUCCGGAUUUACUGGGCGUAAAGCGCGUGUAGGUGGUUUGGUAAGUAGGGCGUGAAAGCUCCUGGCUCAACUGGGAGAGGCCGUUCUAAACUGCC
RNAcentral lists this ribosomal RNA (265 nucleotides) under uncultured bacterium. RNAcentral describes it as "partial 16S ribosomal RNA". It matches the Rfam family "Bacterial small subunit ribosomal RNA", at positions 355 to 637 of the family's 1533-position model. The record is from RNAcentral.